CCCGGUAAACGGCGGCCGUAACUAUAACGGUCCUAAGGUAGCGAAAUUCCUUGUCGGGUAAGUUCCGACCUGCACGAAUGGCGUAAUGAUGGCCAGGCUGUCUCCACCCGAGACUCAGUGAAAUUGAACUCGCUGUGAAGAUGCAGUGUACCCGCGGCAAGACGGAAAGACCCCGUGAACCUUUACUAUAGCUUGACACUGAACAUUGAGCCUUGAUGUGUAGGAUAGGUGGGAGGCUUUGAAGUGUGGACGCCAGUCUGCAUGGAGCCGACCUUGAAAUACCACCCUUUAAUGUUUGAUGUUCUAACGUUGACCCGUGAUCCGGGUUGCGGACAGUGUCUGGUGGGUAGUUUGACUGGGGCGGUCUCCUCCUAAAGAGUAACGGAGGAGCACGAAGGUUGGCUAAUCCUGGUCGGACAUCAGGAGGUUAGUGCAAUGGCAUAAGCCAGCUUGACUGCGAGCGUGACGGCGCGAGCAGGUGCGAAAGCAGGUCAUAGUGAUCCGGUGGUUCUGAAUGGAAGGGCCAUCGCUCAACGGAUAAAAGGUACUCCGGGGAUAACAGGCUGAUACCGCCCAAGAGUUCAUAUCGACGGCGGUGUUUGGCACCUCGAUGUCGGCUCAUCACAUCCUGGGGCUGAAGUAGGUCCCAAGGGUAUGGCUGUUCGCCAUUUAAAGUGGUACGCGAGCUGGGUUUAGAACGUCGUGAGACAGUUCGGUCCCUAUCUGCCGUGGGCGCUGGAGAACUGAGGGGGGCUGCUCCUAGUACGAGAGGACCGGAGUGGACGCAUCACUGGUGUUCGGGUUGUCAUGCCAAUGGCACUGCCCGGUAGCUAAAUGCGGAAGAGAUAAGUGCUGAAAGCAUCUAAGCACGAAACUUGCCCCGAGAUGAGUUCUCCCUGACUCCUUGAGAGUCCUGAAGGAACGUUGAAGACGACGACGUUGAUAGGCCGGGUGUGUAAGCGCAGCGAUGCGUUGAGCUAACCGGUACUAAUGAACCGUGAGG
RNAcentral lists this ribosomal RNA (1003 nucleotides) under Escherichia coli. RNAcentral's name for it is "partial 23S ribosomal RNA". It matches the Rfam family "Bacterial large subunit ribosomal RNA", at positions 1919 to 2916 of the family's 2925-position model. The record is from RNAcentral. Lineage: Bacteria; Pseudomonadati; Pseudomonadota; Gammaproteobacteria; Enterobacterales; Enterobacteriaceae.